This 2849-nucleotide long non-coding RNA is filed under the name Bemisia tabaci. Its description in RNAcentral is "lncRNA ENSASIAIIG001298". Lineage: Eukaryota; Metazoa; Arthropoda; Insecta; Hemiptera; Aleyrodidae. The record is from RNAcentral.
CUACUGCGGUGGAUGACGUCAAAAACCCGGCUUGUGAAAGGGCGGUAUCUCGGUUAAUAUUGGACGUAGAAAGUCGCUGUUAGGACAGAAAUUAUUAUUUCUAGCUAAUCUAAAAUAAUCAAGCAUCAAAUCACGAUUCUUUGUCCAGCGCAAUUGACCCAUUGGACUUUACACUGAACCAUACCCGAACUGUAUCAAUGGGGCCACUUCAAGACGUUCGGGUUUCAAAAUUGGCUCCAAAACUCAAAUAAAAUUCGUUUAAACUUUUAAAGUUCAAAAUUUGGGAUUUGAAAAAUGCCAGCACUGAAAGAGAAUUUGUGUAAUUUUAAUGCCAUAAACACAUGGCAGAAUGUGUGUUUCAAAUCUUCGUAUUUUUUAAAAUACGGAUUUUCGAACGUCUUCAAACUUGUCUGAAAGGGACAAACUUAGUUCGGGAGUGUGAGAAUAGAUCGUUAGAUAAUUUUAACUAGUUGCUUCCUGAUCCUUCGGUUAGUUCUAGACUUGAGAUUGAACCGUCGGUGAUACUGGAAGACUCUUUUCGACCAAAACGUAGAAAAUUUUUUGCAUUACAAUUCGAAACUUUCGAUUAAUUCUCAUGUUUUUCUCAAAUUUAAUGCUCUCGUUCCUGGAAGAGAGAAAUUUGACGACUGUAGAACGGAAAUUCGGUGCAAUUGCGUGUGGCACAAUGCUUUUUUUUGAUGGGUGAAAUAAUAGUAGAACUUUUGACGUACCGAAGGUUAAAAGCUUCUUUUUGUCGUUGGCGCAGACACAGAGCUUGAAAACGCAAGAUUUUGCGCAGGCACGCCACAUGGAGUUCGACUACCGACGCAAAUAUGCUGACGCGUGUGAUGAGUUCUCCUCUUAUCCUACUUUAUGGAUUUACGUGUUUGCGAAUUUCGAAUGGUGUCGCUGCUGCGAGUCUUGUAAAAAUUGACACGAAGAUACCAAAGCCCAUAGACAUUUUGAAUAAUAUUCCUUCAAGCACCACGACAAACAAUGUUCCAGCUCUUCAAAAAAGGAAUGUUGAAAUAACCCCGAGUGGUGUUAAAUUUGCCGGUCCCGGUAAACGUUCGAUUAGUGGAUUUGGGUCGUCUUACGGACUCAAUUUCAUUACGACCGGAUACGUUGACAUAAAACUGGAAAAGCUCAUCGUUCAAGGAAAAAGUCCGGAUCCAAAUCAGCCUAUCCAGUUCUGAGACAAUAAGAUAUUCGAGGGAGGAAAGCUGAUUUGCUCGAAUCUCAGAGAAAUACAGGACAAACCGACGUACCAAAAAUCGCACGAGGGCGCACUAUGGUUCACGAAUGUCCACGUGGGAGAGCCGAUGUCUAACGACGAGGUCCAGGCGUAUGAGGGUGAUUGGGCGGAGUAUGAAGAUAAAAAGAAGGCGAGAGAUGCCAAGAAAGAACCGCGGGUAGAGAACGAAAGAACUAGCUUGGAAAUUUUGGACGAGAGCAGAAGACUCCAGGAAGUAGAGUUGAACACAGAAAGCGGACAAACUGGUGUAGGAGAACUUGAAACUCAGGAUGGUAGCAGUUAAGAAGAGAGUGAUGAAGGAAAAGAACCUCGGAUGGAAGACGAAAAACUAGCUUGGAAAUUUUGGACGAGAGCAGAAGAUUCCAGGAAGUAGAGUUGAACACAGAAAGCGGACAAACUGGUUUAAUAGGGCUUGAAGCUCAGGAUGGUGGCAGUUAUGAAGAGAGUGAUGAAGGAAAUAAAGUGAUCGUGGUGGUAAUCAUGACAAUGGUGGUAGUAUCAGCGAUAUUAUGGAUGAAGAACAAACUAGAUCCGAAGAUACAAACGCUCAUCAUGAAAUCCAAGAAAACGGCAACCCAUAGUAAAACAAAAAGUGGUUUUAUGAAAAAUUCGACGGUAUUUUUAACAAUUUUGUUUUAAUUGUUGACAAAUUAUUGUUUGAAGUAUUAGUAGCAAUAGUUCAAUAAAUUUUGUUAGGGUUUGAUUAACUGCACUGCUGCACAUACAGAAGUCAGGGCAUUUUGAAAUUUGAUUUAACUUGCAACCAUGGAUUUUCUUCACCCUCUACGCAAAAAACGAGAAAAAGUGAAACAACCAAGAUAGGAAUUUCGUCGCAGUGUCAACAAGGGAAUCAAUCGUAUUAGUGGUAUUCGCCAUGCAUUUUAGAAGUUACAGAAAUCGGGUGCAAAUUUUCCUCAAGACGGCUAAGAACGAUUUCCGGGAUUCAAUAAUAGCAAACAGGGUUUCGUUUACCACCAGUUCGAUAUUUAAAAUCAAAAUCGAGCAUAGAUCGGCUUUCUCUACACUGAAGACUCGCACCAGGACCUGUGAUUGGUUGAUUCAUCUUAAAUUUUUGAGAGACGUAUGAGGAGUAUAGAGACCCCCUAUCGCGUUAGCAGGUGAUCGAACAUUCUUGGAAGACUUGAACGCACGAGAAAGAAAAACAAGUAAUGGCGUGCCCAGGGCAGAGCCUGGAAUCAGCUAUUUCUCGAAUUCUGAGUGGGUAAAUUGCUGUAGUUUAAAAACGUGUUUUGAUAGUUAUGGCUUACAUAUUAUCAAAGAACAACCACGGUGCGCCCCCUGGCAGCUACUCUGCGGCCCAACCCGCCCGCGCCCCCCUUCCAAGGCUUGGCGCUCUAAUGUGUAAGGAAAUUCAAAUAAAUCCAUAAUUUCUGGGCAUACUUGAUUGUGAAUCUCAUUAUUCGAAUAAUUUCCACCCACUUUUCGCAUUUUGAGACCAUACUUUGAUGAAGAUCUUGAUAAUGCAACAUAAAGUUGCGCGUGGCUGAUAAGAGAUCGAUGUAUACAGAAUGAACGAAAAGUAUGGACACUAGUUAAUAUCUCGAGAACGGUUGCAGAUAUUGACCAUCCGGUU